GAUGAACGCUGGCGGCGUGCCUAAUACAUGCAAGUCGAGCGAACAGACGAGGAGCUUGCUCCUCUGACGUUAGCGGCGGACGGGUGAGUAACACGUGGAUAACCUACCUAUAAGACUGGGAUAACUUCGGGAAACCGGAGCUAAUACCGGAUAAUAUAUUGAACCGCAUGGUUCAAUAGUGAAAGACGGUUUUGCUGUCACUUAUAGAUGGAUCCGCGCCGCAUUAGCUAGUUGGUAAGGUAACGGCUUACCAAGGCAACGAUGCGUAGCCGACCGGAGAGGGUGAUAGGCCACACUGGAACUGAGACACGGUCCAGACUCCUACGGGAGGCAGCAGUAGGGAAUCUUCCGCAAUGGGCGAAAGCUUGACGGAGCAACGCCGCGUGAGUGAUGAAGGUCUUCGGAUCGUAAAACUCUGUUAUUAGGGAAGAACAAAUGUGUAAGUAACUAUGCACGUCUUGACGGUACCUAAUCAGAAAGCCACGGCUAACUACGUG
This 497-nucleotide ribosomal RNA is filed under the name uncultured bacterium. RNAcentral describes it as "partial 16S ribosomal RNA". It matches the Rfam family "Bacterial small subunit ribosomal RNA", at positions 28 to 507 of the family's 1533-position model. The record is from RNAcentral.